This 35-nucleotide non-coding RNA is filed under the name unclassified sequences. The record is from Rfam.
UAGGCGGAAACCGAAAAGCCUUGAUAGAGUAGGUA